ACGUUUGCAAGUGAAAACUCUUUCGAUGAUCUUGUCAUUCAUUCAUUGAUAUCAUUACAUUGAAUUCACUGACCAGUUCUCCAUCAGAUUUCGUGGUAAUACUCGAGUAUACCAAACAUUUUUUCAGGGUCACCAGCUGCCUGACCGAGUCCUCUUCUGACUCGAGUUGACUGGUAACGAAGGGCAAGGGUCCAAUUCAGUCAAAAAACUUAUAUUCAUGCACAAGUAACAUUCAAUCAUUUAAUCAUUAAAAAUUUCACAUUCACUUAGGGCGAGUGGGAUAAAUUACACACUCGCCUAUCGAAAAUUCAUUUAACAAUCAUUGAAAAAUAUUUAACAUUCAAGCAAACAUUCACAAUAAUUCACAUAGUCAUUGGAAGCACAAUAUGCAAAGAAUACUCACCAGUUUAAGCAAAAUAACGUCAAAAGUUUCCUUCCAGAUUAUGCCCUUGAUCACCGACAAACCCUAAGAAUAAUCAAGAGAAAAUAUUAUGGUUCAACCAUCCAAAAUUUAAGUGAACCAAAGAAAAUCCGAAUAACUACUAGUACAAAUGUGCAAAUAUGGUUUUAGAGUGAAAAACGAACAUUUACCCAAGAGACAUGAGUAACCAAAAAUUUUCUUAUUCUAAUCAUCAACCAAACUCAAAAUGGUUUAACAACUCCAAUUUAAAGUUGGAAAUGAAAGUAAGGACAGUUUUAAGAAAACAGAAUUUUUCUAGUUUUGCACGGUGCUAUUUGAAAAAUCAUAUCUAAAGAUUCUUAAGUCCAAAAUUUAUAAACUUUAUACGUUGGAAAAUAUAUUCAAAGAUUUACAAUUUCUUAGAAGACACCUUUGCAAGAUUCUGUCCACAAGUCAGUCAAAAUUUAAUCUCAAGUGGCUGCUUUAUCCAGUAGAAAGACAGAACAAGAAUGAAAAUUCAAUCAAUUUUGAAAAAUUACAGAUAUUCAUAAGAAUUGAUAAAAAUUCUGAAAUUUUCAUGGUAGAAAGUACUCUAAAUCUAAUUUCAAACACAACAAGUAGAACUCAAUUUGAAUUUUUCUAUACCAAGAUAUGACAGAUUUUCCAAGACUGUUCAGAGUCUCUUGCGGGAAAAAUUUCAGCAGCACUUCUUUUGUGUUUACCAAUUUUUCCAACCAUUUCAAGGCUACACUUUCACCACAAGACAGACCCAAUUAAGUUCACAAGAUAUAGGAUACAUAGAGUACUUAUUUUAACCACAAAACUAGCUAUAACCAACAUAUACCUAAACUGGAAAUUAACCAAACCCUAGCAACAACUUCACCAAACCCUAACAAAAUCAUGAAAUUACCAUAAACAUGCUUUCUUCAACUUUAAUCAUAACAUAUCUUGUAUAAAUCUCAAAAAACAAGUAAAAAGAGAUGUCUUCUCGAAAUUUUACCUCAAAAUCCCAAGAUAACAAGCAACUCAAUAGAUUUCUUCCCCAAGUAAUUCCACCAAAAGCUUCCCUCCAAACUUAACUCAAGAUUAAUCGGCAUGGAUUAGGGUUAGUGUUUGAAUUUUUGACAAAUCAAUCAAGGAAAUCAAGAUGGAAUUUGGAAGUUUUUCUCUCUUCCUUUCCUCUCUAAGGUUCGGCCUUCAUGGAGCAAGAAAAUGAUGGUUUUUCUUC
RNAcentral lists this long non-coding RNA (1628 nucleotides) under Coffea arabica (coffee). RNAcentral's name for it is "long non-coding RNA (CARA_LNC006454)". Lineage: Eukaryota; Viridiplantae; Streptophyta; Magnoliopsida; Gentianales; Rubiaceae. The record is from RNAcentral.